This 1472-nucleotide long non-coding RNA is filed under the name Homo sapiens (human). RNAcentral's name for it is "HSALNT0002614". The record is from RNAcentral. Lineage: Eukaryota; Metazoa; Chordata; Mammalia; Primates; Hominidae.
GUGAUUUCUGUCUGUCACACACCAUUGCUUGGACAACUGCCAUUGCAGUUCUCUUGGGCUUUAAUCUUUUCUAUUUUUUUUUUUUUGAGACAGGGUCUUGCUCUGUUGCCCAGGCUGGAGUACAGUGGCAUGAACAUAGCUCACUGCAGCCUUGACCUCCUGACUGAAGCAAUCCUUCUGCCUCAGCCUCCAGAGUAGCUGGGACGACAGGCAUGCACCACCACACCCUACUAAUCUUUUAAUUUUUUGUAGAGACAGGAUCUCCCUAUGUUGCCCAAGCUGGUCUCAAACUCCUGGACUCAAGCAAGCCUCCUACCUCGGCCUCCUGAAGUGUUGGGAUUACAGGCAUGAGCCACGGUGCACAGCAAGAGCUUUAACCUUAAUGACCAUUCAUUCUCUACCCCACAUUACCUACAACUGAUACAGCAUGCGAAGAGGGUCUUUGCUUACCCUUCACCUUCCACCAUGAUUGUAAGUUUCCUGAGGCCUCCAAGCCAUGAUUCCUGUUAAGCCUGCAGAACUUAACCCUGUGAAGUGGGCAUUAUAAUGAUCCACAAUUUCCAUGAGGGAGUUGAAGCCCAAUGGAGUUGAGCAACUUGCUGAAGGUCACACAGCUCGUAAGUCACAGAGCCAAGAUUCAAACCCAGACACUCAACUCCAGGAUCCACGUCUCUAUCUUUUUAAAGCCCAGUGACUCCACAAACCAGCUCAAAGCCACUCCGCUGGAUGAUGCCUAAGAUACCCUUCAGUCUUCAAGUGUGUCAGCCUAUGAGUAAUAGUCUGGUGUGUUGCUUGUUUAUUUCAGCAUAGUAGACAUCCUCAAUCGAAAUCCCACUGUCCAGCCUCCAGCACUCCAUGCAUGGGUGCAAGUGAGAGUGGUGGUAGGAAGAGCGAUGGAGAGGGCAUGUCUUCUGCAGAUCCUCGAUAAGUCUAAGUCCAGGCAGCUCACUCCAGUCCACUUCAACUAAAACCCAUGGACUCUUAUUUCAGGCUUUUGACUCUACUCCUACACCAUAAUCUCAGGAGGAGUAUAUUUUUCUAACCUCAACUCACAUAUUCACGGGGAAUAUGGGAGAGAAUUGUAGUAGUAAAGGUUAUCCUGGAUAUGGAGUGUCCCCAGAAUCCUGAUCACCCAACCUAUAGCCCUGUGCUGUCCAAUAUGGUGGCCACAUGUGGCUACUGAGCACUCAAAAUAUAUGGUGAGGCCAAACUGAGAUAUGCUGUAAGUGUAAAAUACACAACAGAUUUUGAUGACUUAGGAUGAAACUUAUAUGAUGUACUUGGAUCAGUCAAACUCAUAGAGACAAACUAGAAGAGCAGUUACUAGGGGCUGAAGGGAGGAUGGAAUGAGGAAUUAUUUUUUAAUGGGUACAGAGUUUCAGUUUUGAAAGAUAAAAAAGUUCUGGAGAUAAAUAGUGCAAGCAAUGUGAAUCUACUUAAUACCACUGAAUUAUACACUAAAAAAUGGUUGA